Long non-coding RNA from Saccostrea echinata, 124 nucleotides. RefSeq lists it as uncharacterized. The transcript has 3 exons. The record is from RefSeq and is a predicted model, not a curated record. Lineage: Eukaryota; Metazoa; Mollusca; Bivalvia; Ostreida; Ostreidae.
AGAUGGGGAGAAUCGUUGCCACUGUAGCUUGCGUAAUCUUCCAGAUAAGUUAUGCAAUUGGACAGUUGCAGCCAUUUUGUGAGGAUCCAGCAGACCGAGGGCCGUGUAACAAGCUAGAACUGCG